CCUACGGGUGGCAGCAGUGGGGAAUCUUGCGCAAUGGGCGAAAGCCUGACGCAGCGACGCCGCGUGAGUGAUGAAGGCCUUCGGGUUGUAAAGCUCUGUGGGGAGAGACGAAUAAGUGCAGCCUAAUACGCUGCAUGAUGACGGUAUCUCCUUAGCAAGCACCGGCUAACUCUGUGCCAGCAGCCGCGGUAAGACAGAGGGUGCAAACGUUGUUCGGAAUUACUGGGCGUAAAGCGUGUGUAGGCGGUCCUGUAAGUCGGAUGUGAAAGCCCUGGGCUCAACCCAGGAAGUGCAUUCGAUACUGCAGGGCUAGAGUAUCGGAGAGGUUGGUGGAAUUCUCGGUGUAGAGGUGAAAUUCGUAGAUAUCGAGAGGAACACCGGUGGCGAAGGCGGCCAACUGGACGAAUACUGACGCUGAGACACGAAAGCGUGGGGAGCAAACAGGAUUAGAUACCCUGGUAGUC
Molecule: ribosomal RNA, 464 nt
Filed under: uncultured bacterium
Lineage: Bacteria
Description: bacterial SSU rRNA
Rfam family: Bacterial small subunit ribosomal RNA
Source: RNAcentral